This 301-nucleotide ribosomal RNA is filed under the name uncultured bacterium. RNAcentral describes it as "partial 16S ribosomal RNA". It matches the Rfam family "Bacterial small subunit ribosomal RNA", at positions 509 to 807 of the family's 1533-position model. The record is from RNAcentral.
CAGUCGCCGCGGUAAAACGUAGGUGGCAAGCGUUGUCCGGAAUUAUUGGGCGUAAAGGGCUCGCAGGCGGUUUCUUAAGUCUGAUGUGAAAGCCCCCGGCUCAACCGGGGAGGGUCAUUGGAAACUGGGAAACUUGAGUGCAGAAGAGGAGAGUGGAAUUCCACGUGUAGCGGUGAAAUGCGUAGAGAUGUGGAGGAACACCAGUGGCGAAGGCGACUCUCUGGUCUGUAACUGACGCUGAGGAGCGAAAGCGUGGGGAGCGAACAGGAUUAGAGACCCCAGUAGUCCCUGUCUCUUAUAC